Molecule: transfer RNA, 84 nt
Filed under: uncultured archaeon
Lineage: Archaea
Description: tRNA-Leu(aag)
Rfam family: tRNA
About the family: Transfer RNA (tRNA) molecules are approximately 80 nucleotides in length. Their secondary structure includes four short double-helical elements and three loops (D, anti-codon, and T loops).
Source: RNAcentral
GCGGGUAUGCCAGAGCGGUCAAAUGGGUAAGAUUAAGACUCUUAUGGCUCAGUGCCUACAAAGGUUCGAAUCCUUUUACCCGCA